Molecule: unclassified non-coding RNA, 240 nt
Filed under: soil metagenome
Description: partial contains 5.8S ribosomal RNA, internal transcribed spacer 2, and large subunit ribosomal RNA
Source: RNAcentral
AACCUAGCACACCUGCGGUGUGUACCUGCGGAGGGAUCAUUAACGAAUAUCUAUGGCGUUGGUUGUAGCUGGCUCCUAGGAGCAUUUGUGCACACCCGUCAUUCAUAUCAUCUUUCCACCUGUGAACUAUGUGUAGGCUUGGAUACCUCUCGCUUUGGUGACAAGGCGGAUGCAAGGAUUGCUGCGUCGACAGGGCCAGCUCUCUUUGAAUUUCCAGGUCUAUGUCUUUUUACACACUCC